This is a small nuclear RNA of Protopterus annectens (West African lungfish), 102 nucleotides long. The record is from RefSeq and is a predicted model, not a curated record. Lineage: Eukaryota; Metazoa; Chordata; Ceratodontiformes; Protopteridae.
UUGUUUUGGCAGCAUAUAUGUUAUAACAGCAUUAUACAGAGAAGUUUAGCAUGGUCUCUGUGUAAGGAUGGUAUGCAAAUUUGUGAAGCAGUUCCAUUUUUU